RNAcentral lists this long non-coding RNA (207 nucleotides) under Gossypium barbadense (sea-island cotton). Its description in RNAcentral is "long non-coding RNA (GBAR_LNC005141)". The record is from RNAcentral. Lineage: Eukaryota; Viridiplantae; Streptophyta; Magnoliopsida; Malvales; Malvaceae.
AUCACCGACACGAAGCCUGCUAGGCACGAAGGCCCGAAUAUCAUACCAGUACUAGGCCUGCGGGAUUUAUCCCUGAUAUAAUACCAGCAUGAAGCCUGCAGGAUUUAACCUGGAUAUUUUACCAGCACGAAGCCUGCAGGUCUUUAAGUCCGGAUACACAUCAAAUAUCAUGCAUAUUUAAUCAUUUAUUAACACAUCUCAUUCAAC